GAUGAACGCUGGCGGCGUGCCUAAUACAUGCAAGUCGAGCGAACGGACGAGAAGCUUGCUUCUCUGAUGUUAGCGGCGGACGGGUGAGUAACACGUGGAUAACCUACCUAUAAGACUGGGAUAACUUCGGGAAACCGGAGCUAAUACCGGAUAAUAUUUUGAACCGCAUGGUUCAAAAGUGAAAGACGGUCUUGCUGUCACUUAUAGAUGGAUCCGCGCUGCAUUAGCUAGUUGGUAAGGUAACGGCUUACCAAGGCAACGAUGCAUAGCCGACCUGAGAGGGUGAUCGGCCACACUGGAACUGAGACACGGUCCAGACUCCUACGGGAGGCAGCAGUAGGGAAUCUUCCGCAAUGGGCGAAGGCCUGACGGAGCAACGCCGCGUGAGUGAUGAAGGUCUUCGGAUCGUAAAACUCUGUUAUUAGGGAAGAACAUAUGUGUAAGUAACUGUGCGCAUCUUGACGGUACCUAAUCAGAAAGCCACGGCUAACUACGUG
This 497-nucleotide ribosomal RNA is filed under the name uncultured bacterium. RNAcentral describes it as "partial 16S ribosomal RNA". It matches the Rfam family "Bacterial small subunit ribosomal RNA", at positions 28 to 507 of the family's 1533-position model. The record is from RNAcentral.